GAUCGCUUAGCUCAGCGGUAGAGCGGCAGACUUCGAUUCUGCAGGCCGCGGGUUCGAGCCCCGUAGUGAUCU
This 72-nucleotide transfer RNA is filed under the name Pseudozyma flocculosa PF-1. RNAcentral's name for it is "tRNA-Arg (TCG) (tRNA-Arg-TCG-2-1)". It matches the Rfam family "tRNA". Rfam says of the family: Transfer RNA (tRNA) molecules are approximately 80 nucleotides in length. Their secondary structure includes four short double-helical elements and three loops (D, anti-codon, and T loops). The record is from RNAcentral. Lineage: Eukaryota; Fungi; Basidiomycota; Ustilaginomycetes; Ustilaginales; Ustilaginaceae.